Molecule: ribosomal RNA, 253 nt
Filed under: uncultured bacterium
Lineage: Bacteria
Description: partial 16S ribosomal RNA
Rfam family: Bacterial small subunit ribosomal RNA
Source: RNAcentral
UACGUAGGCAGCAAGCGUUGUUCGGAGUUACUGGGCGUAAAGGGUGCGUAGGUGGACUUUUAAGUCAGUGGUGAAAGCCUGUAGCUUAACUAUAGAAUUGCCAUUGAAACUGAAAGUCUUGAGUACAGUUGAGGUGAGCGGAAUGUAUCAUGUAGCGGUGAAAUGCUUAGAUAUGAUACAGAACACCGAUUGCGAAGGCAGCUCACUAAACUGCAACUGACACUGAGGCACGAAAGCGUGGGGAUCAAACAGG